RNAcentral lists this long non-coding RNA (25991 nucleotides) under Hordeum vulgare. RNAcentral's name for it is "long non-coding RNA (HVUL_LNC000664)". The record is from RNAcentral. Lineage: Eukaryota; Viridiplantae; Streptophyta; Magnoliopsida; Poales; Poaceae.
GUUCUCGAUUGGUAGGUAGGUAAAAGAGCAGAGCAAACGCAAGCCACCUCUAAGCCUUCUGGUUGUAGACGUAGGUGAGGCCGCACUUGCCGCAGUAGUGGCGGUCGAAGUGGUUGGCCAUGAAGGUGCCGGCGCCGCAGUCGGCGUUGGGGCACUCCUUCCUGAGCCUGGUGACCUUGCCGGUGGCGUCGUCGACCUUGUAGAACUGGAGGACGGCGAGCUUCACCUUCUUGUGCUUGUGCUUUUGCUUCUUGGGCUUGGUGUAGGUCUUCUUCUUGCGCUUCUUGGCGCCUCCGCGGAGGCGGAGCACCAGGUGGAGGGUGGACUCCUUCUGGAUGUUGUAGUCGGCGAGGGUGCGGCCGUCCUCGAGCUGCUUACCGGCGAAGAUGAGGCGCUGCUGGUCCGGCGGGAUGCCCUCCUUGUCCUGGAUCUUGGCCUUGACGUUGUCGAUGGUGUCCGAGGACUCCACCUCCAGCGUGAUGGUCUUGCCCGUCAGGGUCUUCACGAAGAUCUGCAUCUUGGCGGCGGCGCGAGGUCGCCUCCGCGCGCUGCGGCGGCGACGGUGGCGGCGGGGUAGGGUUUGGGUUGGGGGCGGAGUGGAUGCUAGGGUUUGUGGGGCGUGGAACGGCCUAGCUUUAUAGCUGGGGGGUUUCGGAUCGGGCGUCUGGGCUCCGUGGACGGUACUUUUGGGCCGGGCUGUGGAUUGACUUCGCUUGUGUGGGCCAUUUCAUGUGGGCUUUGACUCCAGGAUUUCCACCUGUCAAUGGGAAGGGAAAUUCAAAUGUUGAAGCCCACAGGCUAGCUCGAUCAUUUUUUCGUAGUAAUAUUGGCCGAUAUAUUCGGCUCUUUGUUAUUUGAUGUAAGCAUUUUCUCAAAAAGAAAAUGAUGUAAGCAGGGGUACUGCACCUCAGAAAAAAGAAUUGUUGUUAUCCCUCAAAAGAAGUUCAUUUUAUAGUCCAUCCCUCCUAAAAAUCAUUUUAUUGUCCUAAAAUAUUGUUUACAUUUUAUAUCUCCAUAUUAGAGGCCAAAAAAAUCAUUCAAGGGAAUUCAUUUCUACUGUAUUUCCUAAAGGAAAAGGGGUUUCAUUUCUCUCAGAGGAGAUGAUUUCUCACGACUAUGCUUUAACAUCUUUUUGAAUGUUUAAAUUCGGCAGAAAUUCAUUCAUUCGAUCAGGAAAAUCAACUGAUGGAAAAGCGCAAUCUGCAGUUUCAAUUUCGGUUGGUUCUUUUGCUUUGCACUACAACUUAAAUUAACCGCACAACAAUGUUCGGAUCAUCCAUUCAUUCUAUGUACAUUCAGACUGGCAAUUCUCAUCAAUCAUCCAUCACCCAAGACGAGCUACGACGGCAUCGCCAAGAUCAUGAGAUGUAAGCCUUGACGAGCUCGGUGUAGUUGCAGACUUCUCCUGUCCUUGGGCAUGUGAUCUUGCCCCCGUUCUUCUUGGCCAUCUCAUCAAGGGCCUGGGGUUUGCAACACCGCACAACACAAGCAGCCAUCUAAGUUCUGGAUUCAGUGUGAAUAGUUGAGGUAUUAAGAUUUGAGUCGGAUCGGUGCAUACCUUGGUGCUAUAAACGUAGCCGUUGGGCAGGACGAGCGGUGGAUUCUCGGUGUCCAUGAGCUCCUUGGUUAUGUGGCAGACAAGCUUCGAGUGGUGCUGCUUUGAGAAGGGCAGCGGCUCUGCGAGUUUCCGGAAGCCGUCCAGCGACAAGGGGUCUUCUUUGGGGCAGUUCCCCUCGAAGCAGAAUCUUUGCAAGGUCAAGGAGGGUAAACAAGAUAUCGUGGUUAUGUUACUACAGAUUUAGAGUAUGGUCACCAGUGAAAAAGAAAAGAGAAGCAUCAAUCAUGUAAAGGAUACGGAGUCUUGAGAGCUGUCAGGCCUGCUUGCAGGUAAAUGUUCAGCAACGGCUCAAGCGUCAUACCAUAUAGUUUGUAGAAUUCUUGCUUAAACUGAUCCACAAGAAAAUCCCACUGAUUUUGCUCAAAUAAGACCUGCGAGUAAAACAGACGGCAUUAGCAAGGUGCCCAAAUUUCCAUUGAUGCUUAAGCACCAACAUCUUAGUCCAGCUGCUAUCAUAUUUCUGAUGCAGGCACAACAAAACAAGACGACAUAGACAAUGCUGCUAACCUUGUAAGAAACACAGUUUGUGGUGCUUCUAAAAACCAGUGUUGCUGUAACACGCUGCAAUUCUUUCAUGUGGGUAGACCCCCAGGGAGCAAGGUAUUUCCGAGCAUAUGAUAUAGCCUGCAGGAAGUUCUUAGCCUUGACUAGUUCCACAAACUCCUGAAGCCUCAGUAAAAACUCAAGCUUACUCUGCAGGGUAAACAACAGGGUGAACAACAAAAGACACUGAUAUACCCGAACAAAAUUAAGUGUUGAGACAAAGAAGGUGCUAUAUGGCGGCCAGAAGCUAGCAAAAUCUGGUUUCGUUCUAUUUUACAUAUGGAAAAAUGUAAAGAGGAAGACUGAUGCCUCGCUCGCGUACUAUGCAUCCUCCCAUAAUGGUUAACCUUUUUUUCUCUAGACUUGGAUGCUUUCACGCAUGAAGAGGUGUAACAAAUUACCUACAUUCUCCGAUUUGGAGUAUAAAGGCAGACAUUUCACAACAUUCAUGCCACAAUAUUAUAAUUACUGAGAUUAUCUGUACCCGCAUAAAGUGACUAAGUUACAAAGGUGAAUAAUUUCAACAAGCAACCGACAUGAUUGAUGAGCUAUCAGCAUUAUCAUUGGUAAAGAUCAAUGCAAGCAUCCCAUUCCCCAGUGCUUUAUCAUAUGGACAGAUUCUUUACUCCAUCUCACUGCUAUAUGAACGGCAUACAUCAACAAUGAAAUAGCACAAGUAACACAAACCUUUGAUUUCUUUAACCGGGAUUUAUUUUCUGCACACCAAGCUAAAGCAGGAGCUAUUUCCUUAUUCCGAAGAGAAUCAAUCACUCUUUUUGCAUCUAGAAAGACAUCAAUAUCAACAAGGUCCUGCAUAUAAACAGUUGAAUGGUUAGGUUCCGAACAAAAGAGUAUCUGCAACUGUAGAUAAAGGCAGUAGGUUCUAUCUUGUGACAUCAUGAUUCGACAGAUAACAACUCUAUCGUUAUGAUAAUCACAAAAGGCAUUUAGAACUGAUACAGAGCAAAUCUUAUUUUAGAGCAUCUCCAACCGGACUGGCUAAUUUGAACCCGCAUAUGUCUGCAGAUGCAUCCAGGUAGUGUCCAUGAACAUGCCAAAGGAACUCCAUUCGUCCCCGCAUGCGAUACCCCCAUUUGUCCCCCAAAUUGUCCGGACAAAGGCACGUGACUGGUGGGAAUGGAAAGAGCAAGAGGAGAGAAAGAAAAAUGAGAGAGAGAAAGUGGUCCAGGGUGGGCCGGGCCCAACGUGGCGGGUUUUCCGGACACCGUCAUUUCCUCCCCACAUAUGGACUGGGUUUGGGGAUUUGCCGACAGCCUGGACGUAUGGGAAAGAUUUGGGGGCCUCCGUUGGAGAGGCUUUUUUUCCGGGCACUGACCAGGCUGUCCGCACGGACAUGGGGACAAUUUGGGGGUCGGGUUGGAGAUGCACUUAUCUUCUUGUUUAGGUGAUGCAUCAAAACCACAAAGCAACAUGCCAACAUGGUCUACUGGCAUAUAAAUCACACAAUAGCACACAAAGCAGAAUGUCAGGAAUAUAGCUGGACAACUCAAUGAUAAAUGGUAAGUGCAGAAGGAAGAGAAAUUAAACUAAGGCCCUGUUUGGAACCACCUAGAUUAUAUAAUCCAGUUUUUAUAAUCUAUUAUGUUUCCAAACAGAACAACUUAUAGUGUAGAUUAUAAAAACUAGAUGGAUAGAUUAUUAAAAACUCAUAAUCUACUCUAUACCAGCUAAAAUCAGAUUAUGGAUUGCUAAUGACCCAUUACCCUUGUAAAGUUGGAGAUAAUAACAUUUCUACCACCGCUACCCUCCUCUUUUAAAAAAAACAGAGGGUAGAUAGGUCAUUAUGCAAUGUAAAACCUGGAUUACAGUUUAUAUAAUCUGGCCUCCAAACAUGUUCACCUAGAUUAUUUUUAUAAACCAGAUUAUAUAAUUUAUCUUCAUAAUCCAGAUUAUCAUAAUCUAUUAUGGUUCCAAACAGGGCCAAAGCCAUCCCCAUUACGCAUACUUUCAAUAAAACCUUCCAAACAAAUGAAAGCAGAAACUGUGAUGUAGCAGCAUAAAUAGACAUAACACAACCCAACUGUCUUUGACCAACUGUCCUCAAAAAAGGUAUUGCAAGCCUAUAGUGCAAUAAGAAACCGAUAAAAUCUAGGAGGGAGGUUAUGUGGAACCCUUAGAAAACCAAAAGCACAACGCAGAAUGUCAGGAUUAUAGCUGGACAACUCAAUAGUAAUGGUAAGUGCAAAAGGAAGAGAUUAAAUUAUGCCAUCUCCAUUACACACAAUUUGCACAAAACCAUCCAAGCAAAUGAAAGCAGAAUCCGUAACAGUCUUGCUAAAUCUCAGUGGACCGAGACUUGGUUAUGUCUCAGUCGAUGCUAUAUUCGUAAGAUCUUACACUAAGUUCCGUACAUUUUUUUCUUUUUCUUUCUUACAUGCUAUUUCAGUUGACUCAAACUUUGUUAAGACUCAGUCCACUGAGACAUAACCACACCCAAUCUGUAAUGUAGAAGACUAAAUAGACAUAACACAACCCAACUGUCUUCGAAGAAAGGCAUUGCAAGCCUGUAGAGCAAUAAGAAACCGGUAAAAUCUACUUACAUUAUGGGACGGAGGGAGUACUUAAUUAGGAGGGAGGUUAGUGGGACCCUUAGAAGAUCAAAACUCGACUGGGGUAGAUUCAUGCAGCUAGUCAAGAUAUCAGUUAAAUACAUAAUACUCGACCUACUAGGCACCAGCACCCAGUGGCAUUGCUUAAAGAGGAAGGACCAAGAUACCAGUAAAUGAUUCACUCUGCAGAAUAAAUUCCUCACGGGAGACGAACCCUAGUGGGUUAGUGUCAGCGCACCCCCACCAACAGAGGGACACUUGAUCCCCAGCCAAAUACAGAGAAUAACACCACCAGUUGAAGGAGUACCCAUGGAAAUGAAGUUGGUUCGAAGACUCUUCGAUUUUAUUUGGGCUUUAAGUGAUAUGUACUUCCAUUAGAAUGAGGAGCAAUCCCUACGCUAUUUUCUUAAAUGCAGAUCAAAAUUAUAUGCUAGCCAGUCUAGUAUCCGUCUACUCACGAAAUGUGUAGUGAGGCAACCCUCUUACACAGCCGAUCCUAGGAUAACCGUACAACAUAAAACGCAUGCAACUUCACUGCUGACAAAGAACACAGAAAGGUCCAAAGACAACACCAUGUCACACGCCCUAGAACACCUAAGCUCCACGACAACGCCCUCAGGAGGGAAAUGGCGCACAGCAUCGCCGCUGCCAAGCCCUAAACAGACAGGGGUCUUCACCCAGAACCCUGAUACGGAGAGGAGAACCACAACUACUUUCACAUAAGGAUAGCAGCACCGGCAGGCCAAAGCGCGGAGCUUUCGCUCGGCAACUCACCCGUGCCAAAACAAUGCAUCCAGAGCAGCCGAGACUGCUUGCUGUUGCCAUAUAACAUAUUAAUAUAUUAUCCUCAAACAACCAUGAUUUUUCUUGGUAAAAUAGACAUCAACGCACAUCCGCUGCCAGGUUCUGUUCACCCUAGUCACAGUUUGCAUAGUUCUACUUUCCUAAAUAGUAGAAGCAUGUAGCUACAUGAAUCGAGCAAUCAACCAGAAUCCCUUGUUGGGGUGCCCUUCUUGCACCAUUCUUAUACCUGAAUGCCAGAGGUUUCCGCGAGCUUGGUGGCGGUGUCGUAGUAGGACAUCCGGAGCAUGUAAUCAACUAGGAUGCGCUUCAGCCGUAUGUCCUCCCACUCGGCGUCGUCACCGGCGCUGGCGGCAGCCAGCCGGUCCAGCCGCGCACGACACCUCUGCACCUGGAGCUCCUCCGCCCUCGCACCCUCCUCCAUCUGAAGGUCAUCAUCAGGAACCAAUUUGUCAGCAAAUGGAACAACAAAAGGAACACGAUCUUUGCAGUACAAUCGAGAAGCACGAACUGAUUAGCUAGAAAGUUGGGAUCUUUUCUGAGCGAGAGAUGGGAGGAUGUGUGUGGGAUUUUGGGGGACAGUGCCUUGCGCUUGAGGCCGUGGAGGCGGGAGACGAGGGAGGUGAGGUGUUCGACGGCGGCGGCAGAGCCGCUUUCUCCGGGGGCAACGGAGGCCGAGGAGGCCGAGGAGAGGACGGCGGCGAUCUCCUUCUCGGCGAGUCGGUGGUUGGUGCGGGCGGUGGCCCUGAGGGCCUCCAGGGGCACGCGCACCAGCUGGUGCUCGAGCCGCACCGACUCCGCCGCGCGCGUCUGUCUCCCCGCCGCCGCCGACGGAGCCGGCGAGACGGACGGCGACGGCGAUGGUGUGUCGAUGGCCAUCUCCAUCUUUCUUUCUUUUUUUUUUCUUCCUCUCGCUCUGCUGUGACUCACACCGAGAAACAGGGGGGAUGGGUUGUGGAUUUGCUGGAGAAUAAAUAAAAAGAGGCCGGCAGAGAAGAGUGAUGCUGUCCGGACACUGAUGUGACCUUGUUUUGUUUUUUUGGCUUAAUUAUUGCAGGUCCAAUGCUUGUGCUACCCUAAGAUAAAGCAAAAAGAGAGGACUACUGUGAAAUGGAGUAGUAGGUAAAUUAUAUGUCAUGUUUGGAAGGUAAGAUUGUGAAAGAUCAUUGUAGACAUUAGUGUUUGUUUGAAGGUUAUACUAAUAUAUCAUUGACGGAUGGGUAGAAACCCACGAGUUUUCCUAGGGUUCCGACCUAGGGUUCUCCAGCCCUCCCAACGAUGCGUCGUCAUGAGUUUCCUUAUGCGACGCUAUGACCGAUCGACCCCCCUUGACUCAGCUCGCCCCUCCAUUGCCUCCUAGGCUAACUUUCGCCUUAGUUUGUGACUCACGUGGCUUGGGUUUGGGGCUUUGAAGACAGUUCAAGAUAGUUCGGUCGGGGGCUAUGGCAAAUUCGACGGGAGGAUUUGGCUCAUGGGGCUUGGGACGAAAAUCUAAGUAAACUUUUAGAAAGACUGCAUCUGCAUGAUGAGGAGAUUGAUGACCUUAUCUGGGAGGAUGAGGUGGAUGCAACACAAGAGAAGCCCUAGUCGAUCGUGCUGGCCAAAUUGUUUGUCAAAACAAGUUUUAGCCAUAGUAUGUUGAUCGCUGAUAUGAUGCCAAUAUGGAAUCCGGCUCAAGAUGUCGUGUUGAGGAGAAUUAAUCCAAAUCUAUUCUUGAUACAAUUUCACUGCUUGGCUGACCGGAACAAAGUUAUGCAUAUGGACCAUAUGAUUUCAAGGGAUUCGCUCUGUUGUUCGCUAAAUAUGAUGGCUUUACAAACCCAGAGAAGGUCAAGUUGGAUCGGUUGGAGACAUGGUGACAAAUUCACAAGCUUCCGAGUGGGUUUCUAAAAAAUAAGUCUUUCCUGGAAAACAUGGCAAAACAUAUACGGGAAGUGCAAGAGGUUCAUAUUACUCUCUAAUGGAUUUGUGUCCGAAUUCAUCCGUAUCAAAGUGAGACAUGAUGUAAAGUAAAUGACCUAUUGUGUCACCGGCGCAGAGACCAACUAUGGCCAGGAAGUUAAGCAAGCUAUGGGUGGCAUGUAUAGCGAACGUUCAUUUUAUGAAUUACCCGAGAGAGCGUUGUCAAGUGUACAUACGGGAACACCAAGAAACAAUGACAAGGUUAACAAACAGGCUUAACUACCCCUAGAUCAUGUCAAUCGUUUGUUCGUAUAGGCGGCAAUUAGACAUGACCUUGGCGUCGAAAAUACUAGAGGUGAAGUUGAUCUCGGUGGCAAUGUGAUGGAGAUAAAUCCGACGGAUCUUGGGGUAGGAAUUGUUGACUCCCGUAGGAGUUCUUUGGUUUCCCUAAAGAAAAAGGAUGAAGUAAAACAUCAGCAAAGUAAUUCCCUCAGUUAGAAAACCAAGAUUAUCAAUCUAGUAGGAGUCACCCAAGCUAACAAUGUAAGCAAUACAUGUGCACAAACAAUUACAAACUCGCACCCAAUAUGGGAGGGGGUUGUCAAACCCUUGUCUUGCUAGUUACAAGAUUAAAAGCGAAUAACAUAGAUAGAUAGUAGCAAAGUGGAACGACAAAUAAAAGGAUAAAUUCUGUAGAAGAAUUUGUUACUGGAGAAUAGAGUCGCGGGGCAUAGGUUCACUAGUGGCAUCUCUCUUGAAAACAUAUGAAUGACAUGGUAAACAAACUACAGUUGGGCAACUGAACAUAUUGCAAUAUUUAUGACUAUGAUCAUUCAUAACAUAAUCUCAUAUAGGCAUUACGUCGGUGGUAAGUAGACCGUUAAUCGAACUACAUCUACUACUAAUACUUCACCCCAAAAUCUCUAUCUAGCAUGCAUAUCAAGGUAUCAAGUUUGCAAGAAAUAGAGUAUCACAGUAAGUAAGAUGGCAUAAUAUAGAGAGGAAGAAAUCAAUCAAUAUGAAAAAUAUGUAGUUUUAUCAUUGGUGGCAACAAUACAAUAUGUGUCUUGGACCUUAAUGUCACUGGGUUAGAGCACGACAAGGUUGAACACACUACAAAAGCACAACUCUUUGAAGAAAAGCCCAUUGAACUUGGCCAAAGAAGAUAGUAGAUCAGACAUCAUACAAAGAUAUUUGAUUAUGCAACAACAAAGGCUCAAAAGAUUCAAUUCAUUUCAAUAAACAAUUUGAUCAUAAAGUGAAAAUUCAUCAUGUCCCAACAAACACACCACCGAUUACAUGGAAUGAUCCUGACCGUGUAAGAAGGCUCACGGGAACAUGGUAUCAAAUAUCCAAAAAGAGAUAGAACCAUCUAGCUACUAUUAUAAACCUAUAGGUCCUAGGGAAACUACUCACAUGUGGUCAUGAACGCAACAUGGUUGAUGGAUAUGGCUCCGACAAUGGCUUCACCCUCAUGUAGGGCUCUAGAACAGGCCUCCAAGUGGGAUCUUAGCGGAACAAGAACUUGAAGUGUGAUACGUCCCCAAUGUAUCGAUAAUUUGUGAAGUAUUCAUGCCAUGUUUACAACAUUUUUACAUGGUUUUGAUGCACUUUUAUAUGGUUUGAAUGAAACUAAUCCGGACGAACGUUGUUUUCAGCAAAACUGCCAUGGUGUUAGUUUUGUGCAAAAAUAAAAGUUAUGAAUUGGGUUGAAACUUUAUGGUGAUUUUUUAUGAACAAAAGAGACCCCCCGAAGCUUCAUGGAAGGACCAGGCGAAUUCCAAGGGGGCGACAAGCUCGGGGCACUCCUGGGGGUAGGGUGUGUGCUGCAAGCUCGUCGCCCCACGUGGGCCCCCCUUGAUGUGAAACAUAGGACAAAAAAUCCUAUGAAUACCAAAAAAAACUUCCGCUCCAUGGCCGCAAGCCUCUGUUGAGCAAUCUCAUUCGUAGCCCUUUUCCGACACCCUGUCGGAGAUGGGGGAUCAUCACCAGAGGCCAUCUUCAUCAUCCCGACAGUCUCCUUGUCAAGGAGGGAGUAGUUUCCCCUCGGGCCUGAGGGUAUGUACCAGUAGCUAUGUGUUUGAUCUCUCUUUCUCUCUCUUUCUCGUGUUCUUGAUGUGGAACGAUCUUGAUGUACCACGAGAUUUGUUAAUAUAGUGAUCAUAUGGUGUUCUUCCCUCUCUAUGUUGUGAUGAAUUGAGUCUUUCCCUCUAAGGUUUCGUUAUGUUGGAUUGAAUACUUUGGAUCUGAGAACACUUGAUGUAUGUCUUGCAUGCGGAUAUCCAUGGUGACAAUAGGGUAUUCUAUUGAGUCACUUGAUAUAUGUUUUGGUAAUCAACUUGCGGAUUCUCUUGGUGACAUUAGAGCAAUAUAUGCACAUGGGUUGGUACACGCUUUCAUCCUACUUUCUUCGGGGUACUCUUUGAGGUUCUUUAUGUGGAUUGAAUGUGAUGAAUCUAAAAUUGUUUGAUGCAUGUUAAAUAAUCAACUCACGGAUACUUGUGGUGACAUUGGAGUAUCUAGGCGACAUUAGAGUUGGUCGAUGCAUACCGUAGGUGUUAUUCUAGUACGAACUCUUGGGUUGUUUGUGACACUUAUAGGGAUGGUGACACUUGUGAUCUGCAUUGGUUUUUUACCCGAAGAGGAGGGGGUGAUGCAACACAAUAUAGAUAAGUAUUUCCCUCAGUGAGAACCUGUGACAACCCGAGAUCGACGUUCCAGAAGAUUCCCCUUCUAUUCUGUUUCCGUCGUGUGAUUAUUUUUAUUUGUCGUAUCAUCAUCGCAUCAUGCGCAUCAUCCGCAUUGCAUCGGCAUCCCGUUGCCGCCAGUUUUCAAACUUGCAUCCGUUAUUAGUUGUCGGUUCUCGUCGUUGUCCGUUCUGAGCUCGACCGCACUCGCACGCGCCCGCGACAUCGUUAAACCUGUUUUUAAAAGUGUGUGUAAAAUAUUCUCUGAUUGAGUUGAAACUUGGCGUGCGGUAUAAAUUAAUUAUAGGUAGGCCGCCUAUCAAAUUUCGUCGCAAUCGGAGUCCGUCUGGUACCCGAACGGUCGACCGUAGCGGCACCGUAUUCGGUCUAUCGUCGGACAUCUUUCGGUGUUUUAAAUCUCGUUGUCGGGCCGCCCGUUUUCCCUCUCGUCUCCGGAUAACUACUCUACAUGGCCACUUAACCGUCCUCACGUUCGAGAUUAUUCGAUUCUGACCGCGCGGUUGGAUCCGGGACGAAAUUCCGCUAAACCUACCCCCCCCCUUUGUCUAUAAAUAGACCUCCCGAGGCAUUUUAGACAGCAAACCCUAGCCGCCUCGGGGUCCGCGCCCCACCUACCCCCAGCAGUCGCCUGUUGGGGAACGUCGCAUGGGAAACAAAAAAUUUCCUACGCGCACGAAGACCUAUCAUGGUGAUGUCCAUCUACGAGAGGGGAUGAGUGAUNNNNNNNNNNNNNNNNNNNNNNNNNNNNNNNNNNNNNNNNNNNNNNNNNNNNNNNNNNNNNNNNNNNNNNNGACUAUCUUUGAUCAACUGGCUAGCCAACUAGAGGCUUGCUAGGGACAGUGUUUUGUCUAUGUAUCCACACAUGUAAAUGAGUCUUCAUUCAAUACAAUUAUAGCAUGGAUAAUAAACGAUUAUCUUGAUACAGGAAUUAUAAUAAUAACUAUAUUUAUUAUUGCCUCUAGGGCAUAAUUCCAACACCGCCACCUCCAGCCUCUCCCCUCCUCUCCUCUCAUGGGCCCGCCAGGCCCAGAUCGGGCCCGGCCGAGCCCAUCGCGCCGCCGCCUCUCCGGCCUCAUCCCGCGGCUCCCGAGAGCCACAGCUCACUAGCCGCCCCGCGUCUCCCGUCGCAGCCUCCUCAUGCGGCCCCGGUCGCCGUCCGCGCUGGAUGCAGGUCGCCGCCGCCUCGCCGGAGGUCCGUCCUCGUCGGCCGUCGUGCCCCACCGCCGGCAGAAGCUCGCUGGAGCAGGCAGGCCCACCAUGGCGCGCCUCCCGUCGCCCGGUUCCCCGCCCCGCGCCUCCCGUCGCGCCGGCCUGAGGCCGCAGCCCCGCUGGCGGAUCCCGACGGCUCCGUCACCCUGGAGCUCGCCGCCGUCGUGCCCUCACCUCGAUCGAUCGAGAGGACGAGGCUUCGCCCCGAGCGCCUUUUGGUUAUGUUGCGCCCAUCAUAUUUCGGCCCAUUUAGAUUUUCGGUUCCUGUGAAUUAAUUAUUUUCAGGAUAUAUUAGAUAUUUUAAACGCCCGUAGUUUAAUAAUCGUGCAUCGAAUUGCGAUGAUUUAGAUAUGUAUAUCGUGUAAAAUUUCGCGUAGAUUUCGAAUUUACAACUUGCAUAAAUGUUUGAAGUAGUUUGCCGUGUCAAAUGCCUAGUUUUGCAUGCUGUCCCAAUAGGGAAGUGCCCCGCAAUUAUUUUCGCGCAUGUCCGGAUUGCUAGAACCCCGUAGGUAAAAUGCUCAUGUUUUAGGAACCCUUUUGCCAUGUAUUUUAGAGCAGUCGUUGGUAUUUUUGCGUGUAGGAUUCCAUAGCUAGUUUGCUAUACCGUGUUUAGGAUAUUAUCUCGCAUAUACGUGUGGCGAUAUACUUGUGUUGCAACCCCACAUGUUUUAUAUGUUUUCGGGGUAGAAAAAUCCAUAGGAUUUUUUUGUGCAUUUAGUUUUAGCUUCUGAGAAAGUUAGUUCGCGUGAUAUUUUGCAUGUUGCCCUUUUGUUUAUUUUCUAGGAUUUAUUCCGUGCUAGUUAUGAUUAAGUUGUCAACUAGAGAGUUGCUCUUAGAUGUUUAGUCUAGUCCCUGGUAAUGUUGGUUGCAAUAGAAAUCCAUGUUUAGGUGUGGUUUGAUUGUUCUUUACUUGCUAGGAAGUAGUGUUGUUUUAGAGAUGUUGAAAUAUUUCUAAGUCUGAAAUCUGCUAUAUUUUGUUGUUGUCUUGUCUUGAUUCUAUCUCGUGAUCUGUAGCCCUUUUGAGGUUGGUGCAAUGGAGUUAGUUGUAGACUUUAGGAUUCUCUAGCAUGCUGUCAAUUUUCAUGCCAUUUGGAGUCAUGUAGCUUAUGGUUUUGCUGCUGUCAAUAUGCCUUCAGAUCGAAAAUUGUUGUUUCAUAAACUGUUAUUUUCACUAAGUCUGAAACUGUGUGUGAGAUUCCCUUUUGUGACUUCUUUUCCUAGUGUUCCAUGCUUCCAUGUUAGGUGUUGUUAGUUGUAUGUUGUAGUGCUUCUUGCCCUCUAUCGUCUCAUGCCUUGGUUGAGCAUAUUGGAUUUGUGUAGCUCGUAGUUGUGGGGUGUAGAAAAUGCUAUGUGGCUGAUUUUGGCAGAUUGUAGUGAUUUCUUGUUUUGCUCGUAGUUGUUGAACCGUUGCUCCGUUUUGAUCGUGUCCUAUAUGAAACUAGCUUAGAAUCUCGUGUAGUUUCAUAUUAUCUUGUUAGUUGUGUGUUUUGAGAUGCUUGUGACCGUCGUUGCACAUAUUUUGCAUUCAUGCCAUCAUAUCUUGCGGUGCUUGUAUCUUUUGAACCGUAGCUCCGUUGGAGAUGUUCUCUAUGUGUAAAUUGCUUGUAACAACGCGUAUAAUCACGUGAACCUAUUUGUUUUGCUGUUUAACAAACUUUUAAACGUGUUAGUUCAGAUCUGGACAGAAUUAUAUAUUAACGUAUGAGGUCAUCUCGGAGAUGCUAUAUGUCAUUUCUGGCCUCAUUUAAAAUAUCUAGAUAGGUAGUUUAAUUACGCUUCACCUCUUGCCAUGUGUAAACACAUUUAAUAUUGUCGUGUACCUAAUCGGAAUAGAACUAAAUAAUUCAUAUGUGGAGUUUCGUCAAUAUGCAACUUGUUGCAUAUUGAACUUCACUUAAUGUGUAGUAUUUGGUUGUUGUGAAUUGGCAUGCCGUGUCUUGCAUAUGUCCAACCGCUCAUGCAUCAUAUGUGUUGUGCAUCGUGUGGUGAAUAUCGUGUGUUGAUUCCUGUUUCCGGUUUCCUUCAUCUCGAUAGAGUUCCGCAAGCGUGUCGGAAAGUGAGGACCCGUUCGACUACAUCGGUUCAUCUGCUUCACGGAGUCAUUCUUCUUCCAAGAGGGAUCUCAGGCAAGAUGACCAUUUCCCCAGAUACCAUUACUAUCAUUGCCAUGCUAGUAUUAUCGUUUCUGUCGCUAUGUCUCGUUGCCUACCACCUGUUAAAUAUCAGCCUCCCAACAUUGCCAUGAAAACCUUUAACCUGUUCACCACCUAGCAAACCACUGAUUGGCUAUGUUACCGCUUGCUUAACCAUGUGUUAGCGUUGCUAGUUGCAGGUGCAGGUUCUUCCAUGCGACAACAUGGGUUCCUUGUUAUAUCACCAUAUUAAAUACUAUUUAUUUAAUGCACCUAUAUACUUGGUAAAAGGUGGAAGGCUUGGCCUUUCUAGCCUAGUGUUUUGUUCCACCUUUGCCCCCUUAGUUUCGACUACCGGUGUUCUGUUCCAUAAUUGAGCGCUCCUAACACGAUCAGGGUUGUUAUGGGGACCCCCUUGAUAAUUGGUUUUAGAAUAAAGCUGGUCUGGCAAGGCCCAACAUUGGUACUACAUUUUCCCAACAUAAUAAUUUUGUUAAUACUGUAAGCAUAGGGUGUCAUGAACCCGAGGAGUAAUUUACAUAAUACAGGGAGGGCCAGUGCUGGUCCAAAACAGAGCAUUGUGCGGGGCCAACCCAGGGCAACUUGGGAGAUUUCUAUCAGGCCACCGUACGUGUCGCUCAUCCGUCGUGUCCUGAGAACGAGAUACGCGGCUCCUAUCGGGAUCGUCGACACGCCAGGUGGCCUUGCUGGAUUAGUUUUACCUUUGAUGAGAUAUAUUGUGCAUCGGGAUUCCUGUGAUGCUUUGGGUAAUCUCAGAGUUGAGAUUUUCCACUAAGGAGUCAGACGAGAUCGCGAGCUUCGUGAUCGAGGAUUUCUAUGCGGCUUGUGGUAAUUUGUGAUGGAUUAGUUGGAGCACCAUGCAGGGUUAAAUCUUUCAGAAAGUCACGCCCGCGGUUAUGUGGCAACGUGGAAAGUUUGUUUAACACUGGUUUUAGACAACUUGAAGUUAACUUAAUUAAAAUAUGCCAACUGAGUGUGUAACCGUGACUGUCUCUUUCGUGAGUUCCUUCUCCGAUCGAGGACACGGUGGGGUUAUGUGUGAUGUAAUUAGGUGUUCAGGAUCAUUCAUUUGAUCAUCAGUAGUCACGUACGCUACGCGUAGAUCAUCCCCCUCUUUAUUCUUGUACUCGUAAGUUAGCCACCAAAUAAAUGCUUAGUCGUUGCUACAACCUCACCACUUAACCCUACCUCACCUAUUAAGCUUUGCUAGUCUUGAUACCUUUGGAAAUGAGAUUGCUGAGUCCCCUGUGGCUCACAGAUUACUACAACACCAGUUGCAGGUACAGGUAAAGGUUACUUGACGCGAGCGCGUUGAUUGUUCAUUUGGAGUUGCUUCUUCUUCUUCUUCUUCAAUAUAGGAUGGGUUCCAGGCCGGCAGCCUGGGAUAGCAAGGAUGGACGUCGUUCUUCUUUUCUCGUUUGUUUUCGUUCGUAGUCGAACCCUGCUCUUCUUCAUGAUGUUUAUGUAUUGUACUGAUGUGACUCUGAUGUAGCCUGUGGCGAGUGUAAGCCAAUUCCAUAUAUCUCAUCUUUUCAGUACACGUACUUGUAACGAUAUCCAUUCUUGCGAAACGACGAGAUGCGCUUCUAUCCCUGACGAGGCCCUCGUGCCAAAUUGAGGAUAGGAUCGCAUCUUGGGCGUUACAAAACCAAUGUUAUCGAACCAAUAGGAGAACUACACAAUUUCCCGUCUUGAGCUCCUACAUACAAAAGUGCACACACUUGCACCCAACGCGGCAAGAGGGUUGUCAAUCCCCUUUAACCUGUUACUUGCAAGCGAUAAGUAGUGGUAGAUAGAUAGUUUGAUAAAUAUAAAUAGAAGAUAAAUAAAAAGUAAAUAAGAACAACAAGGUAAUUGUAUUUUUUGUAAAUAUAUUUGUGAAUAGACCCCGAGGCCAUAGUUUUCGUUGGAGGCUUCUCACUCGAAGAAAGCAUGCGAUGGGUAAACAAAUUACUGUUGGGAAAUUGAUAGAAAAGUGCAUAGUUGUGCAAUAUUUAUUCAUGUCAAUGAUCAUUACGCAUAGAUAUCACAUCUGUAAACAGGUAGACCGACUCUUGUCUGCAUCUACUACUAUUACUCCACUCAUAGACUGCUAUCCAGCAUGCAUCUAGAGUAUUAAGUAAAAACAGAGUAACUCUUGGAGGAGGAUGACAUGAUGUAGAGAAAGUAAAUCCAAUUAAUAUGAAUGAAACCCAUCGUUUUACCCUUAGUGGCAUCAAUACAAUACGUGUCAUGUCCCUUUGUGUCACUGGAAUUGAGCACCUCAAGAUUGAACCCACUAUAACUCACCACUCCCUCUGAAGAUAAAUCAAUCUAGUUGGCGAAACCAUACCGAUAGAUGGAGAGAAUUACAAAACUAUCAUAAUCAUGCAUAUAUGUGAAAGGUCAGCAAGGAACUCAAUAUAAUCUCAUGAAUAAUCUGAACAUAAACCCACAAAUCAUCGGAUCCCAACAAACGCAGCGCACAAAAGUGAUUACAUAAGAUAGAUCACCGCAUGAAUCGCAGUGAUCAUGGCAACAAAGAACAUAGAGAGAUAGAUAGCUAUCUAGGUACUAAUUACGACCCCGUAGGUCUAUGGUGAACUACUCACACAUCACCAUGCGAGCGGCAAGGAUGAUGUAGAGGCCCUUCGUGAUCGACCCCCCCUCCGACAAGACAUCAAAACAGGGCUCCAGAUGGGCACGGGGCAGAACAUAAGCUCACGGGGGCGGAAACAGUGUUUCGGGAGGCUCCACAGGGGUUUGGGAAUAUAUGUGAAUUUAUAGGUGAUGUUUCAAAAGGAUCCCCGGCAAUGGCGCAGGAAUGCUUCUGAUGUCCGUUAUGCUGCUGCACAAAAGACCUUCCACUGGCGCCGGAAAUGGGCACGUUGAUGACACCAGGAAUCCUUCUGCGUUGGUGUUCCCUCGAAGCGGAGAGGAUGAUGUAGCACAAUGGAGGUAAGUAUUUCCCUCAGUUUGAGAACCAAGGUACCAAUCCGGCGGAGGAGUAUCUCAAGAUCCUGCACAAACACAAAAGCUUGCACCCAACGCUAUGAAGGGGUUGUCAAUCCCUUAUAGAUUGUUGCCAAGUGAGAACUGAAAGCAAAAAAGUAACAAAGCAAAGUAAAAGAGGAGUUGUAAACGAUGGAUGUGAAUAGACUCGGGAGCCGUAGUGUUCACUAGUGGCUUCUCUCAUGAAAGCAAGUAGACGGUGGGUGAACAAAUUACUGUCGAGCAAUUGAUAGAACUGUGAAGAGUCGUCACGAUAUCUAUGCAAUGAUUAUUUCUAUAGGCAUCAUGUCCGAAACAAGUAGACCGAUACUUUCUGCAUCUACUACUAUUACUCCACACGUCGACCGCUAUCCAGCGUGCAUCAAGUGUAUUAAGUCCGUAAGAACAGAGUAACGCCUUAAGCAAGAUGACAUGAUGUAGAGGGAUAAUCUCAAACCAAUGAUAAAACCCCCAUCUUUUUUACCCUUGAUGGCAACUGCUUGAUGUGUGCAUUGCUGCCCCUACUGUCACUGGGAAAGGUCACCACAUGGCAGAACCCAAAACAAAGCACUUCUCCCAUUGCAAGAAUCAUAGAUCUAGUUGCUCAAACAAAACCCAAGACUUGGAGAGACUUACAAGGAUAUCAAAUCAUGCAUAUAAGAAAUCAGCAAAGACUCAAAUAUAUAUCAUAGAUAAUCUGAUCACAAGUCCACAAUUCAUCGGAUCUCGACAAACGCACCGCCAAAGAAGAUUACAUCAGAUAGAUCUCCAUGAAGAUCAUGGAGAACUUUGUAUUGAAGAUCCAAGAGAGAGAAGAAGCCAUCUAGCUACUAACUACNGUAGUGUACCGUGGCAAUAAUCUAGCAUGGCAUAGACAUCAAUGGAAACAUCAUGCUAGCUAUAUUACGAUCGUGCAAAGGCAAUGUAGACGUGGUGGCACAUGUCAUGGUGGUAGUUGCAUGGCAAUAUAUCUCGGAAUGACUUUGAAAAAGCCAUAAUAGGUAGGUAUGGUGGCUGUUUUGAGGGAGGCUAAUGGUGGGUUUUGUGCACCGGUGAAAGUUGCGCGGCACUAAGAAGAUGGUGAUGGUGGAAGGUGAAAGUGCAUCUAAACCAUGAACUCAACAUUAGUCAUGAAGAACUCAUAUACUUGUUGCAAAAGUUUUAUUAGUAAUCGAAACAAAGCAUUCAACGCAUACUCCUAGGGGAAGGGUUGGUAGGUAUAAACCAUCGCGCGAUCCCGACCGCCACGCAAAGGAUGACAAUCAAUAUACUAAUCUUGCUCAGAUUUCAUCACAUAGCGGUUCACCAUGCGUGCAUGCUACGGGAAUCACUAACUUCAACACAAGUAUUUCUUGAUCCACAACACCUUACUAGCAUGACUUCAAUAUUACCAUAACCACAACUCAAAACUAAUUGAGAUGAAUCAAACUUCCCUAACUAUUCAAUGCACAUGAAGGUGGAAGUUUUUGUAUCCCUUUGGAUAACUACCCCUUUUGAGACUACUUUCAAAGCAUAGAUCAACUACCAAGCCACGCACCACUGUGCUCUAAAAGAUAUAAGUGAAGCACAUAGAACAAAAGUAUCUAGCUCAAAAGAUAUAAGUGAAGCACAUGUGUGCUGAAUUGUUUAACCAAAGGAUAUAAGUGAAGCUCGACAAAAUCAUGGUGAGUGCAUGUCUCUCUCUCUAGGUGUGCAGCAAGGAUGAUUGUGACACAACAAAAAUAAAAGACUCCUACGAUACAAGACGCUCCAAGCAAAAACACAUAACAUGUGGUGAAUAAAAAUAUAGCCCCAAGUAACGUUACCGAUGGAUUGAAGACGAGAGAGGGGAUGCCUUCCCGGGGCAUCCCCAAGCUUAGGCAUUUACGACAUCCUUGAAUCUCUUGGGGUGACUUGGGCAUCCCCAAGCUUGAGCUCUUGCCACUCUUUAUCUUUUUGUCCAUAAGAACUUCACCCAAAACUUGAAAACUUCACAACACGAAACUUAAACAGAAACUCGUGAUAACAUUAGUACAAGAAAGCAAACCACCACUUCCUUAAGUACUGUAGUGAACUUAAAUUCUACUUGUGCUGACGUUGGGUUACUGUACUUUCAAUCUUCCGUGGCUAAUACCCCCCGAUACUAUCCAUAGUUUCAUCAAAAUAAGCAACUAACACAACAAAAACAAAAUUUGUUAACAACAAACCAGUUUGUAGCAAUUCGUAUGUUUCGUAUGCCUGUGGUACUUAAAAAAUUCUGAACAGUUACGGCAGUCUGUAGAAUUUGCUCCGAAAUCAGCAGAAAAAAGAAUCAACUCAAAAGAUCUUAUGGAGAAAAAAUGAAAAUUCUUUUCGUGAGAAGAAAGUUUCUGUCUUUCCUAGCAUGACCAAACGAUCAUCCUCAAGACUAAUCAUAACGGUUUUGCUUGGCACAAACGCAAAAAGAAACACAAAAAACACAAUCAUAACAGAAUUAUGAAAGUGUGGAAAACACAAAACAGAAAGAAAAAGGAUAGAUUCGUUGGGUUGCCUCCCAACAAGCGCUUUUGUUUAACGCCCUUAGCUAGGCAUUCAAUGAUGCUCUCACAAAAGACAAGAAUUGAAGCACAACGAGAGCAUCCUAAAGUAUGUGAAAACCACAUCUAAGUCUAACUUACUUCCUAUGCAUAGGCAUUUUAUAGGAAAAUAGAUUGUCAAGACAACCAAUAGUUGCCAUAUGCAAGGAAGAAGAAAGAGACAAUAGCAAUCUCAACAUAAUGAGAGGUAUUUUGGUAACAUGAAAGUUUCCAUCACAAUAUUUUCCUCUCUCAUAGCAAUUACAUGUGGGAUUAUAUUCAAAUUCAACAAUAUAGCUAUCCCAUAGGAUAUUCUUUUCAUGAUCCACAUGCAUGCAAAGUUGACGCUCUUAAAAAAUAGUGGGAUUAUCAUCAUGCAAAGUCAUGAAGUCUCCAAACACACUUCCAAUAUUAUUGCAAAUAUCAUAUUCAUCAUGGGGUUUGAACAAAUUUUCAAGAUCAUAAGAAAUAUCAUCACCCCAAUCAUGAUUAUUGCAACAAGUAGUGGUCAAAGCAAAACUAGCAUCCCCAAGCUUAGGGUUUUGCAUAUUUUUAGCAUGAUUUUCACUAAUAGGAUUUACAGUGAAACCAUUGCAAUCAUGCUUUUCAUCCAAGGAGCCCUCGUGAAUCACUUCAUGAAUUUCUUCAUCACGAUUUUCAGACUCAUGCAUCUCAAGCAAAACUCCAUAAAAAUAAUCAAUUGCCCUCACGAAGAUGCAAGCAUAUUGAAGGCAUAUGGCACACAAACGAACAGAAAGCAAGCGAGAGAAAAGACAAACGAAAAAGGCGAAAGAAAAAGGUAAAGGAGAAAGGCAAAUGAAAACGACAAAUGUGAAGUGGGGGAGAGGAAAACGAGAGGCAACUGGCAACAAAAGUAAAUGCAAGAGAAGAGUUUGUGAGACCUACUUGGAUAGAUCUUGAUUUCUCCUCCCCGGCAACGGCGCCAGAAAUACUUCUGAUGUUUCAAAAGGAUCCCCGGCAAUGGCGCAGGAAUGCUUUUGAUGUACGUUAUGCUGCUGCACAAAAGACCUUCUAGUGGCGCCAGAAAUGGGCACGUUGACGACACCAGGAAUCCUUCUGCGUUGGUGUUCCCUCAAAGCGGAGAGGAUGAUGUAGCACAGCGGAGGUAAGUAUUUCCCUCAGUUUGAGAACCAAGGUAUCAAUCCGGCAGAGGAGUAUCUCAAGAUCCUGCACAAACACAAAAUCUUGCACCCAACGCUAUGAAGGGGUUGUCAAUCCCUUAUAGAUUGUUUGCCAAGUGAGAACUGAAAGCAAAAAAGUAACAAAGCAAAGUAAAAGUGGAGUUGUAAACGAUGGAUGUGAAUAGACCCGGGGGCCGUAGUGUUUACUAGUGGCUUCUCUCAUGAAAGCAAGUAGACGGUGGGUGAACAAAUUACCGUCGAGCAAUUGAUAGAACUGUGCAGAGUCGUGUUGAUAUCUAUGCAAUGAUUAUUUCUAUAGGCAUCACGUCCGAAACAAGUAGACCGAUACUUUCUGCAUCUACUACUAUUACUCCACACGUCGACCGCUAUCCAACAUGCAUCUAGUAUAUUAAGUCCGUAAGAACAGAGUAACGCCAUAAGCAAGAUGACAUGAUGUAGAGGGAUAAUCUCAAACCAAUGAUAAAAACCCCAUCUUUUUACCCUUGAUGGCAACUGCUUGAUGUGUGCCUUGCUGCCCCUACUGUCACUGGGAAAGGUCACCACAUGGCAGAACCAAAAACCAGGCACUUCUCCCAUUGCAAGAAUCAUAGAUCUAGUUGGCCAAAAAAAACCCAAGACUCAGAGAGACUUACAAGGAUAUAAAAUCAUGCAUAUAAGAAAUCAGCAAAGACUCAAAUAUAUAUCAUAGAUAAUCUGAUCACAAGUCCACAAUUCAUCGGAUCUCGACAAACACACCGCCAAAGAAGAUUACAUCGGAUAGAUCUCCAUGAAGAUCAUGAAUAACUUUGUAUUGAAGAUCCAAUAGAGAGAAAAAGCCGUCUAGCUACUAACUACGGACCCGUAGGUCUGAAGUGAACUACUCACGAGUCAUUGGAGGGGCGAUGAUGAUGAUGAAGAAGCCCUCCAACUCCAAAGUCCCCUCCGGCAGGGCACCGGGAAGGGUCUCCAGAUGAGAUCUUGCGGAAACGGAAGCUUGCGGCGGCGGAAAAGUAUUUUCGAGGCUUCCCUGAUUUUUUGCGGAAUAUUUGGGAAUUUAUAGGCCAAAGACCUAGGUCAGGGGGUGGCCAGGGAGGCCACAAGCCUGCCCACCGCCGCCUCCCCCCUGGUGGCGGAGUGGGGGCUUGUGGGCUCCCUGGAGCCCACCUGGCUUGGCCCAAAAGCCCCGUGGACUUCUUUCGUUCGGGAAAAAAUCAUUUCGGGGUUUUCUUCCGUUUGGACUCCGUUCCAAAAUCAGAUCUGAAAUGAGUCAAAAACACGGAAAAAACAGGAACUGGCACUUGGCACUGAAUUAAUAAGUUAGUCCCAAAAAGAUAUAAAAAGGUACAUAAAACAUACAAAGAAGGCAAGAUAACAGCGUGAAACGAUCAAAAAUUAUAGAUGCGUUUGAGACGUAUCAGUAGUCCAGAGAACGGGAGUCGGAGAGAUGGGAGGUGGCCUCAAGCCAUAAGGGUGCAACCCCCCCCCCGACGCUCCCUAUUGGCUUGGGGGCGCAUCAUAUGCCCAUCGGUCUUCCUUCGAAGCUUAUAGGUCUUUAUUUGGUCCGAGAAAAUCAUCAAAAAGUUUCGUGGUAUUUGAACUUCGUUUCGUACAAUAUUACUCGUAAGCCAAAAACAUGCAGAAAACAAAAACUGGCACUUGGCACUGGGUUAAUAGGUUAGUGCUCAAAAAUAAAAAAAUCGACAAGUAAAUGCCUAAAAAGCAUCCUAGAAUGAUAAUAUAAUAGCAUGGAACUACAAAAAAUUAUAGAUACGUUGGAGACAUAUCAGUAUCCCCAAGCUUAAUUCCUGCUCGUCCUCAAGUAGGUAAAUGAUAAAAACAUAAUUUUUGAUGUGGGAGGCUAUCCAACAUGUAAUUUCUUGCACGCAUGAUCAUUGAUAAAUGAUGAACCAACUAACAUUAACGUAGUAAUAUCCAUAAACAUAAGUAACAUAAUCAUCAAUUUUCAAAAUAUAUGAUCCUUAAAAAUGUUUACCUCCAUUCAUUUUAUCAUAUUAGCAUGGCAUGGCCCCGUCUUCACCACAUAAGUACAAAUGUCAAGCACCACGGUGUUAAGCCAAGCAAUUGGGUCAUACUUUUAAACGCGCUUCACCUUUUUAUACCUCAUUUGGUACAUGAGCAUGAAAGGACAUAGCAUAUAGGUGCAAUAGAAUAUGGUGAUAUGUUUCAAAGGGGUAAAAUUGGAGAAGAAAGUCUCGCAUCAACUAGGUGGAUCAAUGGGCUAUGGAGAUGUGGAAGUUCGUUAUAUCGACUAGAGGGGUGAAUAGGCAAUUUUUACAAAUUCAUCACCGAGGAAAUUUGUAGUGAGGAAAGUCCUCAGUCAUGAACUGAGUGCAGCGGAAAUAGUACUUAGACAAAUGUGCAAAAGUGACUAAAGCAAAGUACUUAGAGUGAAUUGAUAGGUUUGGUUUGCACAAGUCACUUAUAUAGGAUAAGCAGGUGAUGAAUAACUCAGGUGAAGAAUUUGAGGUGAGGAAUUAGGAGAAAAUCUUCAGUCAAAUUCUUCAAACAGUACAAAUGAAAGUCUUCAACGUACAAUUGAGGAAAUGAAAAGAAUUGAAGAAAUAGAACCAGUAGCUCGAUGAAGGCAGUGGUUGAUGACCCAGUUCCAACUGUUGUGACAGUUGAACGUCUAGUUUGGAGCGGCUUGGUAUUGAAACCAAAGGACACAUAGUCUCGGGACACACAGUCCCUACCGUAUUCUCCUUGAGCUAAGGAUACACAGUCCUCGCCCAACAGUCGUGGUAAGUCUUCACGGCAGACUUCCAAACCCUCACAAACUUGGUCACCCGGCCAUCUGAUACGUCCAUUUUGCAUCAUGCUUUCAUGUUGAUAUUUANNNNNNNNNNNNNNNNNNNNNNNNNNNNNNNNNNNNNNNNNNNNNNNNNNNNNNNNNNNNNNNNNNNNNNNNNNNNNNNNNNNNNNNNNNNNNNNNNNNNAGGAAUUUCCUCAGUGAUGAAAUUCUAAAAAUCUCCUAUUCACCCCCCUCUAGUCGAUAUAACGCACUUUCACCUUGUCCAAAACUUCAUGUGCCUCAUGCAACGCUUUUCAUAAGGAUUUUUCCAAUGAAAUACAUGCGUUCUUCAUAGAAUGCUUCUUUCUAAAACUUUGGCCGCUUGGAGAAUGGCUGAUGCUGCAUAGGUUGAAGAUUUUGCUGCUUCCCUUGAGGAGAGACAAUCAUGACAGUCUUCGGAUUGACAACCACAAUAGUAGUUUCUGUAUUUGGCGCAGGGGCAUUUUCUUCAGCAUGUUCUUCAGGAUAAGGAAUUUCAUCAGUCUGUCUCAGGUUGAGGAUUUUGCUCCGAGUGAGAAUUUUCUUCAGCCCGAGCUUCUGGUUGAGGUUUUUUCUCAGGAGGAGGAAUCUCUUCAUGCUGAGCCUCAGGUUGAGGGUUUUGCUCAGGAUUUGGAUUUUCUUCAGGCUUAGGAUCUUCUCCUUGGUUUUCCUCAGCUUGAGAAGUUUGCUUGGAGGAGGAGCCAAUUUUUUUAGCUGUUGCAGCUGAUCCUUGAGCAGGUUCUUUAGGAGGAAUGAAUAUCUGAGGACUGUCAUCAAUUUGAAUUUCCUCAUCAGUGUGUUCCUCAGACUCAGCAGUUUUCAUUUCCUCAUCAGUCAGAUGCUCCUUAUCUUCGCUCUCGAAGGGAAUCAUGGCAUAUGAUGGAGCAAUCUUGAGAGGCACAACAUCCAAAAGAACAUUUUCAUCAAGAGAUUUGAGACGCUUUGCCUUUGUUGAUUCUGGUGUUGAAGAAGCUUUUCUUUUCUUAGCUUCCUUUUCUGCAGCCCUCGUUUUCUUCACGUCUGAUGCAGACGGAGUCAUUUUCUUCACCUUUGAGGAUUUUGGUGAAGACAUUUUCUCUUCAGGAGUCGGAGCCGUAUCCGUCCUGGUAGUUUCCUCAGCUGAAGCAGAUUCAUCAGCUGGCUUAGAUGCAUCAGCUGGAAUUUCGUUGGAUAUUUCCUCAAUAGCCGGUGCAUCAGCACGGUUUUCUUGAGGCAUUUCCUCAGCAGGGGUGGGUUGUUCUUCCUCUAUCUCAGGCUGCUGUGGUGUUGCUGGAGGGGCAACCUUUUUUGUUGUAAUCAUCAACUGCGCUGGUUGCAAACUUGAUGAAAUUGUUCUUGAGACUUUGACGAUCAGAUAGCUUGGUAUACUUAUCUGUCAAAGUCUUCAAUUCUGCCUGGGUUGACACAAGAGCAUCAUGCGUCAGGCUGAGGAGAUUUUUUCUGAGGAAUUUCUCCUUCUUCAGCUUUGCAGCCUUUGCUUGUUUGGCUUGCGUCUCCUUCCACUUGGCCUCGUUGAUGAAUGUGGCCACCAUGUGGCUGAUGCCCGGGGGAAGCUUCAAGUCAUCAAUGGGUGUGUUAGGGUCAUCAUACCACACAUUGAUGUAGUCCAACAGGUCUUUUGGAUCCAUGGCUAGAGGAAUGACGCUGCCUGAAGCUUGAGCGAGCCGCUCCAGCUUGUUUCUGAUGAUGGCUUGCAGUGUCUCAUCAUCAUAUUCAUCACUUCCUUCUGAUGCAAAAGGGACUUUGAUGACAUUGCUUGGGCUGGGUAUGGUUCCUCUGUAGCAGUCAUCUUAGUCCUCAAUGGAGUUGGUGAGGACUUUGUCUCAGAGCUCGUUGCCGAAGGAACAAAGGAGUUGGAGACAAUAGGCAGUUGCUUCACAAUCUGCUUGUGUUCAGCCUUUGAGGCCUGUUUGGUUGUUUAGGGUUUUGGAACAGAAGCAGGUGCAGCCUUCUGAAGCAAUUUCUCCCGAGGCUUUGAAGCCUUUCAUUUCUGUGGCACAUGCUUCACUUGAGGAAUGGCCGCGCCAGAAGUUUCAGCAGCUGAGGAAGUGGCUGCGGCAACAGCAGCAGUAGAUUCUUCAUUGAAUUUCCUCACAACGGUUUCUGCUUGUUUCUGAAGCUUUGACAAAUGUUUGGUCUUUUCCUUAGAAUAAUCAUCAAUCGUCUUGAUACUUGAAGGAUGGGCAUCCUGAUGAUCCUUGAGAGGAGGCCUUUUUCCAGGUGGCUUAAGAGCGAAUUUCUUCGCGUACUUUGGAGUGACGAAUAUGUAUUCCUUCCACUCCUUAGCCCACCGAUGCUCUAUCUUUUGGAGCCUUAUUUUCCUCUUGGGCAUUGUUUCUUGCUCAUCUGGUGUGCAGUAUUCCAAGUAUAUAUCCUCAGGGAUAUCAAUGGCAAUGUUCUGCUCGAGCUUCUUGCCACCCUUUUGCUUCCUUUCAUCUUCCAUUUUCUUCAGCUGAGUCUUUUGCUGAGGAAAUUGAACUCUUGAGGAUUCUGAUAACACUUGUAGAUUUUCUUCAAGAAACGCUGCAAAUGAGUUAAGUUGAUGAGAACCUAGAGAUUCAUCAGCGGACAUUUUUGUACCUGUGAACAGCGUAUAGUUGCGAGGAAUUCUGAGAGGUCAUAUGCGUUCUUAGAUUUGAAGAAAUUGAAUUUUUUUAAAGUUGAGGAAUUUGACCAGUGGGUUGAGGAAUUUGGCUAAGCACUCUGAUCUUGGGUUCCAGAGUUGUACAGAUUCGAAAAUUUGCACAAUUGAGGAAUCACGUGAAGAAUUUUAGUUGCUUAGUGAAAUUCAUCAAGUAAUCGAGGAAUCAGCAGUGUUUGAGGAAUAGAGACUGAUAGACACUGAGGAAAAACAGAUUCCACAAAUCUAAGGUAAAAUAGUAGAUUGAAAGGGAAUGUAAAAAUAGGAUUUUAUUUACCCUAUAUAGCACGCACGAAGAACAGAAGAAGUAGCAGUAGAUGCUCUUCGGUGCGAGUCCACUGCGCCCUAACUUGACUACAGAGGACGGCUACGGUGGCGGCGGACGAAGACGUUCCAGUUCCGGCGUGAU